AGAGUUUGAUCAUGGCUCAGGAUGAACGCUAGCGGCAGGCUUAAUACAUGCAAGUCGAGCGGUAACAGGUGUAGCAAUACAUGCUGACGAGCGGCAGACGGGUGAGGAACACGUACGCAACCUCCCUCAAACCGGGGCACAACCUUGAGAAAUCAGGGCUAAUUCCCCAUAACAUUGCGAAAGGGCAUCUGAUUGCAAUUAAAGAUUUAUCAGUUUGAGAUGGGCGUGCGUUCGAUUAGCUAGUUGGUAGGGUAACGGCUUACCAAGGCAACGAUCGAUAGCUGGUGUGAGAGCACGACCAGCCACACGGGCACUGAGAUACGGGCCCGACUCCUACGGGAGGCAGCAGUAAGGAAUAUUGGUCAAUGGACGAAAGUCUGAACCAGCCAUGCCGCGUGAGGGAUGAAGGUCCUCUGGAUUGUAAACCUCUUUUAUCUGUGAAUAAACGUCCUUUUUCUAAGGGAUUUGAAGGUAAUAGAUGAAUAAGCACCGGCUAACUUCGUGCCAGCAGCCGCGGUA
This 519-nucleotide ribosomal RNA is filed under the name uncultured Bacteroidota bacterium. RNAcentral's name for it is "bacterial SSU rRNA". It matches the Rfam family "Bacterial small subunit ribosomal RNA", at positions 8 to 522 of the family's 1533-position model. Lineage: Bacteria; Pseudomonadati; Bacteroidota. The record is from RNAcentral.